CGGGGCUUAAAGUCUUGUAAUUGGAAUGAUGGGAAUUUAAACCUCUUCCAGAGUAUCAAUUGGAGGGCAAGUCUGGUGCCAGCAGCCGCGGUAAUUCCAGCUCCAAUAGCGUAUAUUAAAAUUGUUGCAGUUAAAAAGCUCGUAGUUGAAUUUCUGCUGCAUUGCUUGUGUCUCUCUGGGGUCUGUGCAUGUGGCUUUUUUCGGACGGAGUUUCUUUGUCUGAAUGUUUACUUUGAGAAAAUUAGAGUGCUCAAAGCAGGCUUUCGCCUUGAAUAGUUUAGCAUGGAAUAAUAAAGUAGGACUUUGGUUCUAUUUUGUUGGUUUUAGGUACCAAAGUAAUGGUUAAUAGGAACAGUUGGGGGCAUUCGUAUUUAACUGUCAGAGGUGAAAUUCUUAGAUUUGUUAAAGACGAACUACUGCGAAAGCAUUUGCCAAGGAUGUUUUCAUUAAUCAAGAAC
RNAcentral lists this ribosomal RNA (458 nucleotides) under Theileria annulata. RNAcentral's name for it is "SSU rRNA". It matches the Rfam family "Eukaryotic small subunit ribosomal RNA", at positions 486 to 984 of the family's 1831-position model. The record is from RNAcentral. Lineage: Eukaryota; Apicomplexa; Aconoidasida; Piroplasmida; Theileriidae.